UAAAAAAUAGGACUUGAACCUAAACUUGAGAGAUCAAAACCCCCCGUGCACCCAUUACACCACUUUUUA
This 69-nucleotide transfer RNA is filed under the name Rhyacotriton variegatus (southern torrent salamander). Its description in RNAcentral is "tRNA-Gln". Lineage: Eukaryota; Metazoa; Chordata; Amphibia; Caudata; Rhyacotritonidae. The record is from RNAcentral.